UAAUUUCUUUUUGUGCAAAUAACGUCUUCUGUGGACUUUACAGUUCCUAAUACUGUGCAAAAAAAUGCCACUUUGAAUCACGGCUUUUUUGUUUUGAUUUUUUGUUUAUACCACAUGUGCAGUAAUCUGAAUUGUUUCCUUUUUUCUUUUUCCUUUUUCUGUCCUGUCUUCAAUGGACAGAGUCACAUGUCACAAAGGCUCAGCGCCUGGUCCUUCCAACUAAUAUUGAUACAUAAAUAAGCUGUUUAAUAUAAACAAGUCUUUCUAUCUGGCUGUGCAAUGUGCACAGUGUGAGUGAGGUAGGAACCCCUCAGCCUGACCACCGAGGAGGCGUUCAGGGACAGCCCGCUUGCCCUCCGAAAGGGAAUCAAGGUGAGGCUUGUUCCAAGAAGAGCAUAAAACUUCCUGAAACGCGAUUUUUGCAUCCAUCCUUGCCCUCGGCUUUCGGAACAGGAGAAAUCAGUCCUCAGAAAUUAAAAUGCAAUUUCUCUGAAAAGCAAAAGGAAGCAACGUCCUG
Molecule: long non-coding RNA, 517 nt
Filed under: Bos taurus (domestic cattle)
Lineage: Eukaryota; Metazoa; Chordata; Mammalia; Artiodactyla; Bovidae
Description: long non-coding RNA NONBTAT016240
Source: RNAcentral